UGGGAACUAUGGAAGAUAGUUCUCACCCCACUCUAUUUCCAGUGGUAGGUUCAGGGCUGCAGAGAGAGGACCGCGGCAAGGGCAUCGCGCCCGAUCAGUGAGGCCGUGGUAGUGUAGUAGCUUUCCCUUUUGCAUUAGUUGUAAUACACUGGGUCUUAGCAAAUUGCAAGAUUCGAGUGUUUGAUCUGUGUGUGGAGCCUUUCCACAGUUUUUGGAGGGUCGUUGAUAGUGUUCCGACCCCUGGCGCGCAUCCCGAGGAUGUUGGAGUGAGACUUGGCACCAAAAUCCAAAAAGUUGGAUUUUUGGUCAGCUCUCGGGUAGCCUUCAGCAGGCCGCGUACCGGUACGGGUUCGCUUGCUCUACCGGUACGGGAUUGAUGGCUGUACCGGUACGUGGUUGUGUACCGGUACACAGAGCAUUUCCCAGCGAACCCGAGGCUCGGGUUUGGCAUUUCGUGGGCAGCGUACCGGUACACAAACCCGUGUACCGGUACGCAGUGCAGAUUUUGACUGUUUCGUUGAGGGGUGUUUUUGCAAUUGUUGCAACGCCUAUAUAAGUCACCCCAGCCCUCUUGGCUGCUCUUUUGAGCCCUAGAACAGAGGAGAUAAGGUGAGAACUCCUCCCCUUUGGUCUCUUCUUCAUUUUUGUUGGGAUUUUUGCUAGUUUUGAUCUCUUUUCUCUUCUCCUUCUUGCUUUUGUGGGUUUUCCACCAUUGGAGAAGUGUGAGAUCUUGGUUGGAGCUUGUUUGAGGAUCAACCUUCAACCCUAGAGGACUUUGGAGCUUGGUUUGGAGCUUCUAAGAGGUUAGUAGCUAUUUCUCUCCUCUAGAUUCGGAUUUUGUUGGAUUUUACUAGAUCAAACCCUAGAUUUGGCAUUUUAGGGUUAGAUUUGGGGAUUCUCGUUUUGAGGGCUUUUGUAUCAAAUUGAUGGGUUUAGAACCUUUGUUUAGGUUAGAUUGGAAGGACUCUAGCUCCCAUUUGGAGAUUGUGAGAGCUUCCUUCGCAAUCGGUGAGUUUUCGUCUACCCUAGCCCUAUAUGCUUAAUGAUUGAGCUUAGCGUCGUUUGUUUCGACUAGAUGACACUUGUUCUUGUACCUCUAAGGUACUAGGAGACUAGAGGACACCCUCGUUGGAGCGCACGAGGAGUUUCGUUGUCAUCGGUGGGUUUGGCUUCCUUGGAAUCGGGGGAAAUUCCUCCUAAGUGGUUAUAUGCUUUCAUUCUCUUCGAAUUCAUGCAUAUUCAUGCUUAUUAGCAUUUAUGAGAGUUUUGAACGCUUAGAACUCAUUUGUUGUGCAUCAAGAAAAGUUACUCUAUAUAGUAGGGAGAGAGAGAGAGACAAUGUGCUUUGUUAAUAUGCAUGCGACAAAUAUUCUAUGAGAGGAUAGGAAAUCAAGUUUCAUGCUUCGGUUUUGACUAGAAUUGUAAGUUCUUGAACUUAGUAUCCAUGUUGGGACAAAAUGAGCCAUAGUGUCAUACAGAGGCACUUGGACUAGAGAAUUAUUAAACUGCAACAUAGAGACUUGAGAAUAGGCCACAUUGACAUCAACUAUAUUCCAUAUUUGAGAUAUGAUGAAAUAGUGACUUGGCCACGAGGACAUUUACUAUAUAUACCAUGUUAUUAGGCAUGAGGACUUGGUACUUGCGACUGAUCGUUUGACUACUUGCCAUUGUGCUCAUUCGCACAUGCUUGUGAGGGUCGCUCCCUACAAGCCGGCACUCCGGAGAUAGCCAUCGCGAUUCAUAUUCGCCGUGCGGGAUUGGGCGCCGAAGUGGAUUGCCAUGGGCCAGGCUCAUCCCUAGGCUGGGGGUGAUGACUACCACGGGGCCAUUAGGCUCGGCACCGGCCAGACAGCCUACGGGUGGGUCUCAGGGCCUUAGACAGCCUUCGGGUGGGUCUCUUCAGAUUUGACUUCGAGUAUUCAUGAUGACUUAGAGUAUUACUUGGACAUUGACUAGAAUAGUAAACAUCGGCAUUUUACUAUUUCGCAUUGUGAACAUUAUGAUAGUUGGAGACUAUUACUUCAUGCAUAGUUGCUUUCGUACUCAUGCUAUUUAUGCUAAGUGGAGACUUUAUGCUAUAGUAAGUUAUAUUUUACUUACCGUCUAAUUAUUACAUUGUUAGUCACUGACCUCUUCUUGUAGCUUUUGGGCCUUGUGGCGCAGUUCACUGAAGUCAGUAAUUGCCCACUGGGAACUAUUUUUAAUAGUUCUCACGCCCCUGUUUCUAUGUUUCCUUUUCAGAGCCUUCGGCACCGGCGGAGGCACGGGAUCGCGGCAAGGGUGUCGCGUAGCUAGCCGGGAGAGUUUCUUUUGCGCUAGGUGGUCGCUUUUUCUCCAUUUUAUAUUUUGAGAGAGCGUGAGGCUUUUGGUUUCCAUGUAUAGAAAGACCACCUGUGUACCUACUUUUAGCACUCGUUAUGGGAUCCCUAUUGUACUUACUUUAUGUUUUAUUUAGUGGAUUUACAGUUUUAACUUUAUCCCUUGUUGUAGCAAUUAGACAUUUACUAUGCUCUGAUACUUCUAGAUGUCUUGUAUUAUUGCUUUUAUUAUUGUUGUUUUUAGACGCCUUAUAUGUUGUAGACAUAUGGCGGGUCUGGGCACGCGCCGGGCGGGCUUCCGCUGGGUCCCGGGGCGUGACAGAUUAAUUUGGUAUCAGAGCCUAGGGUUGAGUCUUAGGGGACCUAGUAAACCUUAGGCCGGUUUGGACUAUAGGAAAUAGGCUCGUGAGAGACGAGGUCUAUUCGACUUGUAAGCGAAAGUAUCUAGAUUGGGUAUCUUGAAUAACUCUAGAAAGUGGAGUUAAAUUGAAGUGUAUAACUCCUAACUUCGCGGAGGGUUACGUUGGCGGCCGACAACGUAACAUCGGGAGUUAGUAGUGAAGAACACUUCUUACUUUCGCAUGAUUUGGGGUUUGUCUUUUGAGUGGGGAUGCGAUAGCGUGAGUAUUUCUAACUUGCGCUUUUAUGUUUUGUAGUGACGAUGCCGAUUACUCGCUCCCAAUCUGCCGGGGCGGACAAUGCGGCAAAUUUCGAGGAGGUUGAGACCUCCGCUACCUCCGGAUCCAGCGAGGUCCGUGAGUUGAGGGGCCAGCUUGCAGCCCUCACCGACCUAGUCACUCAGCAGGCGGAGGCGGCUCGACAGCAGACUGAGGCGGCGCGCCGACAGGAGGCGCGGAUGAAGCGCCUGGAGGAUCUACUUCUGCAGCAGGCAGCAGCUUCUAGGGAGACGCAGGGCCCUACACCGCCAGCACCAGUUGUGGAUGUUGCACCGAGAGCGCCGUCCCCCGCGCCCAGUUCUUCGCGUGCGGCGCCUGCGGCCGUACCCCAAGAGGAGGUUUUGGUAGCACCGCCUGUGCAGAGGCCCCCGGUUGGAGCAGCUUUCCCUACCUUGGUUGAGGGGGCGGAGCGAGAUAGACUGAUGGAGCGCCUCAAUGAGUUCAGGAGGUGCAGUCCCCGAGUCUUCGAUGGCGAGAAGGUCGACCACUGGAUCGUGGAGAAGUGGUUGAUGCAUAUGGAGAAGCUCUUUCGCGACACUUUCGUGGAGGAGAGGGACAGAGUUUGGCUCGCCACUCACCACUUGGACGGCGAGGCCUACCGCUGGUGGUUGGACUUUCAGGAGCACCCCAGCACUGACUUGGCAUCUAUCACUUGGACGAGGUUCAAGGAGCUUCUUCUGGCGCACUACUUCCCGACCAGCGUCAAGAGGAAGAUGGAGCAGGAUCUGCGCAGCUUGCGCCAGGGUGACCGGACUGUAGCCGAGUACGAGAGGGAGUUUUCUCGGCUUCUGCAUUGCGUGCCCUUCGUCGUGCGGGACGACGAGGACAAGGCCCGCAUCUUCGAGCGAGGGUUGAGACCGUCUAUCUUUCGGUUCGUGCAAUCCUCUAACCUCCAAACCUACCGGGAGGUGGUGGAUCGCGCGCUCAUUGUGGAGAGCGGCGCGGCAGAGGUCCAGGAGCAGCGAGAUGCUAGGGACAAGGGUAAGGCCAAGAGGCCUGCGGCUGAGGGUGCGAGCCAGACGCACUCUAGGAGGCCGCCGAAGCAUCCGAGGAGCCAGCACCGUGGACGCGGCUCAGCAGCACAGCGAGGAGGAUCCGAUCGGCGCCGGCCUUCCCCGUGUGUGAUCUGCGGUGGUCCCCAUUAUCCACCGCAGUGUCCACAGCGGGCGGGCAGGUGCUUCCAGUGUGGCCAGGAGGGCCACGUGCGUACCGAGUGCCCGAGGGGUUCGUCACCGGCACCGUCGACUGCAUCGGCACCGGCUCUACCAGCCGUCAGCCACGGGACUCCGUCGACACAGUACCAGCCUGGGCGGCCACCCGUCCAGCGCCAGAGCGAGGGAUCUCGACAGGCCCCGAGUGGGCGCAUGUACGCCGCUCAGACCGAGGAGGCGGCAGCAGCCGAGGAUGUGGUUGCAGGUAUCAUUUUACUUGAUGGCAUUAGAGUUCGUGCUUUAUUUGAUACCGGUGCAUCGCAUUCAUUUAUAGAUCGGCUGUUUGCCGAGUUGCAUGGCAUCCCUUUGGUUCCUUUGUUGCAUACGGGACAUGUAGUUGUACCCGACCACAUUUUGGAUAUUAGAGAGUUUAGCCCCAGUUGCCCCGUUCGGGUAGGAGAUUGGAUCAUGCCUAUAGAUUUGCUAGCUUUGCGCAAGCUGGGGGAUUUUGAUGUGGUCUUGGGCAUGGAUUGGUUGACUAAGUAUUAUGCCACGAUUGAUUGUAAGAAUCGCACGGUUACUUUUAGAGAACCGGGGCAGACUGAGGUGGUAUUUAGUGGAUGCCGGAGUUCACUGUUUGCGAUGACGAUCAGCUCGUCUCGAGCUAGGCAGCUAAUCAGCAGAGGUUGUGUAGCCUAUUUGGCUAGUGUCGUGCUGAGGGGCGAUGAUGACACCCCUAGGAUUGAGGAUAUCCCGGUGGUGCGGGAGUUUCAGGAUGUGUUUCCAGCUGAGCUACCGGGUAUGCCUCCUGAUAGGGAGAUUGAGUUUGUGGUAGAUCUCGUCCCUGGGACUACCCCAAUCUCAAAGGCACCCUAUAGGAUGGCACCGGCAGAGCUGAGGGAGCUGAGGGCACAGUUGCAGGAUUUGUUGGACAAAGGCUUCAUUCGACCGAGUGUGUCACCUUGGGGAGCCCCAGUUUUGUUCGUCAAGAAGAAGGACGGAUCACUUCGCCUUUGUGUGGAUUAUCGUGAACUUAAUAAGGUCACGAUCAAGAACAAGUAUCCGUUGCCAAGGAUCGACGACUUGUUUGAUCAGCUUCAGGGAUCAUGUGUGUAUUCCAAGAUCGACUUGGAGUCGGGAUACCACCAGUUGAAGAUUAAGCCCGAGGAUGUAUCGAAGACGGCUUUUAGAACACGGUAUGGACAUUAUGAGUUCACAGUUAUGCCGUUUGGGCUUACUAAUGCCCCGGCAGCUUUUAUGGAUCUGAUGAACCGUGUUUUCAAGCCUUAUCUAGACAGGUUCGUCGUGGUGUUCAUCGACGACAUUUUGGUCUAUUCUCGGAGUGAUGCAGAUCACGAGGAACAUUUGAGGGUUGUACUCCAAGUACUUCGGGAAAAGGAGCUUUAUGCCAAGUUGAAGAAAUGUGAAUUUUGGCUUCGAGAGGUGGCCUUCCUUGGACACUUGAUUUCAGGAUCAGGUAUAGCAGUGGAUCCCAAGAAGAUAGAAGCAAUCAAGGAUUGGCCGAGGCCGACGAGCGUCACGGAGAUACGGAGCUUCCUUGGAUUGGCCGGUUACUACCGGAGAUUUGUUGAGGGGUUUGCCAAACUGUCUACUCCCUUCACGAGGCUCACGCACAAAGGUGUUAGGUUCAUUUGGAAUGACGCGUGCGAGCGAAGCUUCCAAGAGUUGAAGCAGAGAUUGACGACUGCCCCAAUCUUGACCCUACCAGUAGCUGGAGCAGGGUAUGUGGUUUAUAGUGAUGCUUCACUUAAUGGUUUGGGCUGUGUAUUGAUGCAGGAUGGCAAGGUGAUCGCGUAUGCUUCUCUUCAACUAAAGGAAUAUGAGAAGAACUACCCGACGCAUGAUUUGGAAUUGGCGGCUGUAGUGUUCGCAUUGAAGCUAUGGCGCCACUAUCUUUAUGGCGAGCGGUGUGAAGUAUACAUGGAUCACAAGAGCUUAAAGUACCUGUUUACUCAGAAGGAGUUGAACCUGAGACAGCGCAGAUGGUUGGAGCUGCUCAAGGAUUAUGAUCUGACGAUUCUUUACCACCCGGGCAAGGCUAACGUGGUGGCGGAUGCGCUAAGUAGGAAAUCGAUGGAAAACUUAGCGAUGCAUGUUGUGACCCAACCGCAGUUGAUCGAGCAGAUGAAGCGGUUGGAGUUGGAGAUAGUGACUCCUGACACGCCUAUGAGGUUGAUGACAAUGGUGGUGCAACCUAUCCUGUUGGACAGAAUCAAAGAAAAGCAAGCUUCCGAUGUGGAGUUGCAAAAGAUUAGAGGAAAAAUGGUUGAUGGUUGCACCGGCGACUUCCUUUUGGACGAUCAUGGAUUGAUGCGUUUCCGCGGACGACUUUGUGUACCGGCGGACGUGGGCAUUAAAGAAGACAUUCUUCAAGAAGCACACCGAGCACCGUAUGCUAUACAUCCGGGUGGCACCAAAAUGUAUAAGGACUUAAAGUUGCUCUAUUGGUGGCCUGGGAUGAAAAAGGAUGUUGGCGAGUUUGUCGCUAGAUGCUUAACUUGCCAACAAGUAAAGGCUGAGCACCGAGUUCCCGCGGGAAAACUUCAGAGUUUACCUAUUCCCGUGUGGAAGUGGGAGAAAAUCACCAUGGAUUUUGUGACAGGAUUGCCACGCUCACAGGCGGGGCAUGACGCUAUUUGGGUGAUCGUGGAUAGGUUGACGAAGUCGGCGCACUUCAUACCUAUUCAUACGACUUGGACCGGAGAGAAGCUCACACAAGUGUACCUUGAUGAGAUUGUGCGACUUCAUGGAGUGCCUACCUCGAUUGUAUCUGAUCGAGACACCCGGUUUGUGUCUCACUUUUGGAGGAGUCUGCAGGACGCCCUAGGCACUCGCCUGGACUUCAGUACAGCAUUCCACCCGCAGAGUGAUGGACAGUCGGAGCGCACUAUUCAGACCCUAGAGGAUAUGCUCCGGGCUUGUGUGAUAGACUUCCAGGGAGGAUGGUCACAGCAUCUACCUAUGGCGGAGUUUGCUUAUAACAACAGUUAUCAAGCAAGCAUCAAGAUAGCGCCCUUCGAAGCACUUUAUGGACGGAAGUGUAGAUCGCCACUUCAUUGGAGUGAAGCCGGCGAGAGUUUGGCUCUAGGCCCUGAUGUGCUCCAGGAAGCUGAGGACAAGGUUCGAAUUGCUCGGGAGCGACUUUUGACGGCGUAGAGUAGACAGAGGAGCUACGCCGAUCGACGACGGCGAGACUUGGAGUUCCAAGUUGGAGACCAUGUUUUCUUGAAGGUCUCGCCAACGAGAGGAAUCAAGAGAUUCGGGAUUCGGGGAAAGUUGAGCCCCUGUUUCAUUAGACCGUAUGAGAUCUUGGACCGUGUAGGUCCGGUAGCGUAUCGACUUGCUCUACCACCGAACCUAUCCGGCGUGCACAACGUCUUUCAUGUAUCGGUCCUUCGAAGGUACAUUCAUGAUCCAGCUCAUGUUUUGGAAGCUGUACCAGUGGAACUGCGCGAGGAUUUGAACUUCGAGGAGCAACCCGUGAAGAUUUUGGCUCGCGAGGUGAAGAAGCUGCGGAAUCGGGAUAUUCCGUAUGUAAAGGUCCUUUGGAGCAACCACGGGGAGCGGGAGGCCACGUGGGAGCUGGAGAGCGCCUUGCAGGAGCACUAUCCCCAUCUUUUUCAGAUGGAGUUCUGAGGUUUGACGUUGCUUUCGAGUUUCGAGGACGAAACUCCUUUUUAGGAGGGGUGAAUGUGACGCACUGGACCUUUGCAAAUUGCGAGGUUCGAGUGUUUGAUCUGUGUGACGAGCCAUCUCAGACUUUCUGAAGGGUCGUAGACAGUGUUCCGACCCAUGGUUCGAGUCCCGAGAAUUGUGGUUUGAAACGGUGUACCAAAAUCCAAAAGGUUGGAUUUUUGGUUAGCUCUCGGGUUGCCUUCAGCGGGCUGCGUACCGGUACGGGUUCGCUUGCUGUACCGGUACGUGAUCGAUGGCUGUACCGGUACGUGGUGGUGUACCGGUACACAGACAAUUUCCCCAGCAAACCCGAGGCUCGGGUUUGGCAUUUCGUGGGCAGUGUACCGGUACACAAACCCGUGUACCGGUACGCAGUGCAGAUUUUGACUGUUUCGUAGAGGGGUGUUUUUGCAAUUGUUGCAACGCCUAUAUAAGUAACCCCAGCCCUCAUGGCUGCUCUUUUGAGCCCUAGAACAUAGAAGAUAAGGUGAGAACUCCUCCCCUUUGGUUUCUUUUUCAUUUUUGUUGGGUUUUUGCUAGUUUUGAUCUCUUUUCUCUUCUCCUUCUUACUUUUUGUGGGUUUUCCACCAUUGGAGAAGUGUGAGAUCUUGGUUGGAGCUUGUUUGAGGAUCAACCUUCAACCCUAGAGGACUUGGGAGCUUGGUUUGGAGCUUCUAAGAGGUUAGAAGCAAUUUCUCUCCUCUAGAUUCGGAUUUUGUUGGAUUUUACUAGAUCAAACCCUAGAUUUGGCAUUUUAGGGUUAGAUUUGGGGAUUUUCGUUUUGAGGGCUUUUGUAUCAAAUUGAUGGGUUUAGAACCUUUGUUUAGGUUAGAUUGGAAGGACUCUAGCUCCCAUUUGGAGAUUGUGAGAGCUUCCUUCGCAAUCGGUGAGUUUUUGUCUACCCUAGCCCUAUAUGCUUAAUGAUUGAGCUUAGCGUCGUUUGUUUCGACUAGAUGACACUUGUUCUUGUACCUCUAAGGUACUAGGAGACUAGAGGACACCCUCGUUGGAGCGCACGAGGAGUUUCGUUGUCAUCGGUGGGUUUGGCUUCCUUGAAAUUGAGGAAAUUCCUCCUAAGUGGUUAAAUGCUUUCAUGCUCCUUAAAUUCAUGCAUAUUCAUGUUUAGUAGCAUUUAUGAGAGUUUUUGAAUGCUUAGAACUCAUAUGUUGUGCAUCAAGAAAAUUUACUCUAUAUAGUAGAGAGAGAGAGACAAUGUGCUUUGUUAAUAUGCAUGCGACGAAUAUCCCAUGAGAUGAUAGGAAAUCAAGAUUCAUGCUUCGAUUUUGACUAGAACUAUAAGUUCUUGAACUUAGUAUCCAUGUUGGGACAAAAUGAGCCAUAGUGUCAUAAAGAGGCACUUGGACUAGAGAAUUAUUAAACUGCAACAUAGAGACUUGAUAAUAGGCCACAUUGUCAUCAACUAUAUUCCAUAUUUGAGAUAUGAUGAAAUAGUGACUUGGCCA
RNAcentral lists this long non-coding RNA (9305 nucleotides) under Ananas comosus (pineapple). RNAcentral's name for it is "long non-coding RNA (ACOM_LNC043528)". Lineage: Eukaryota; Viridiplantae; Streptophyta; Magnoliopsida; Poales; Bromeliaceae. The record is from RNAcentral.